AUAAUAUUCCCUCCGUCCGGAAUUACUUGUCGCAGAAAUAGAUGUAUCUAGACGUAUUUUUAGUUCUAGAUACAUCCAUUUCUAUCCAUUUAUGCGACAGGCAAUUCGAGACGGAGGGAGUAUAGA
Triticum aestivum (bread wheat) is the source of this 126-nucleotide non-coding RNA. Lineage: Eukaryota; Viridiplantae; Streptophyta; Magnoliopsida; Poales; Poaceae. The record is from Rfam.